Molecule: transfer RNA, 74 nt
Filed under: Candidatus Uhrbacteria bacterium
Lineage: Bacteria; Candidatus Uhriibacteriota
Description: tRNA-Arg
Rfam family: tRNA
About the family: Transfer RNA (tRNA) molecules are approximately 80 nucleotides in length. Their secondary structure includes four short double-helical elements and three loops (D, anti-codon, and T loops). Further hydrogen bonds mediate the characteristic L-shaped molecular structure. tRNAs have two regions of fundamental functional importance: the anti-codon, which is responsible for specific mRNA codon recognition, and the 3' end, to which the tRNAs corresponding amino acid is attached (by aminoacyl-tRNA synthetases). tRNAs cope with the degeneracy of the genetic code in two manners: having more than one tRNA (with a specific anti-codon) for a particular amino acid; and 'wobble' base-pairing, i.e. permitting non-standard base-pairing at the 3rd anti-codon position.
Source: RNAcentral
GUUCCAGUAGCUCAGUUGGAUAGAGCAGGGGACUUCUAAGCCCAAGGUCGAUGGUUCGAUUCCAUCCUGGAACA